RNAcentral lists this ribosomal RNA (265 nucleotides) under uncultured prokaryote. RNAcentral's name for it is "partial 16S ribosomal RNA". It matches the Rfam family "Bacterial small subunit ribosomal RNA", at positions 355 to 637 of the family's 1533-position model. The record is from RNAcentral.
UGGGGAAUAUUGCACAAUGGAGGAAACUCUGAUGCAGCAACGCCGCGUGGAGGAUGACGCAUUUCGGUGUGUAAACUCCUUUUAUAGGGGAAGAUAAUGACGGUACCCUAUGAAUAAGCACCGGCUAACUCCGUGCCAGCAGCCGCGGUAAUACGGAGGGUGCAAGCGUUACUCGGAAUCACUGGGCGUAAAGGAUGCGUAGGCUGGAGAUCAAGUCGAGAGGGAAAUCCAACGGCUCAACCGUUGAACUGCUCGCGAAACUGGU